UUGUUUCUUCUUUGCCCUAUUCCU
This 24-nucleotide non-coding RNA is filed under the name Rattus norvegicus (Norway rat). The record is from RNAcentral. Lineage: Eukaryota; Metazoa; Chordata; Mammalia; Rodentia; Muridae.